RNAcentral lists this ribosomal RNA (404 nucleotides) under uncultured bacterium. RNAcentral describes it as "bacterial SSU rRNA". It matches the Rfam family "Bacterial small subunit ribosomal RNA", at positions 355 to 776 of the family's 1533-position model. The record is from RNAcentral.
UGGGGGAUAUUGCGCAAUGGGGGAAACCCUGACGCAGCAACGCCGCGUGAAGGAUGAAGGUCUUCGGAUUGUAAACUUUUGUCUUCAGGGAAGAUAAUGACGGUACCUGAGGAGGAAGCCACGGCUAACUACGUGCCAGCAGCCGCGGUAAUACGUAGGUGGCGAGCGUUGUCCGGAAUUACUGGGUGUAAAGGGUGCGUAGGCGGGCUGUUAAGUCAGAUGUGAAAUACCGAAGCUCAACUUCGGGGCUGCAUUUGAAACUGAUGGUCUUGAGUGAGGUAGAGGCAAGCGGAAUUCCCAGUGUAGCGGUGAAAUGCGUAGAUAUUGGGAGGAACACCAGUGGCGAAGGCGGCUUGAUGGGCCUUAACUGACGCUGAGGCACGAAAGCAUGGGGAGCAAACAGG